UAACGCGUGGGUAACCUGCCUCAUACAGGGGGAUAACAGUUGGAAACGACUGCUAAUACCGCAUAAGCGCACAGGAUCGCAUGAUCUGGUGUGAAAAACUCCGGUGGUAUGAGAUGGACCCGCGUCUGAUUAGCCAGUUGGCAGGGUAACGGCCUACCAAAGCGACGAUCAGUAGCCGACCUGAGAGGGUGACCGGCCACAUUGGGACUGAGACACGGCCCAAACUCCUACGGGAGGCAGCAGUGGGGAAUAUUGCACAAUGGGGGAAACCCUGAUGCAGCGACGCCGCGUGAGCGAAGAAGUAUUUCGGUAUGUAAAGCUCUAUCAGCAGGGAAGAAGAAUGACGGUACCUGACUAAGAAGCACCGGCUAAAUACGUGCCAGCAGCCGCGGUAAUACGUAUGGUGCAAGCGUUAUCCGGAUUUACUGGGUGUAAAGGGAGCGCAGGCGGUGCGGCAAGUCUGAUGUGAAAGCCCGGGGCUCAACCCCGGUACUGCAUUGGAAACUGUCGUACUAGAGUGUCGGAGGGGUAAGUGGAAUUCCUAGUGUAGCGGUGAAAUGCGUAGAUAUUAGGAGGAACACCAGUGGCGAAGGCGGCUUACUGGACGAUAACUGACGCUGAGGCUCGAAAGCGUGGGGAGCAAACAGGAUUAGAUACUCUGGUAGUCCACGCCGUAAACGAUGAAUACUGGGUGU
This 695-nucleotide ribosomal RNA is filed under the name uncultured bacterium. RNAcentral's name for it is "bacterial SSU rRNA". It matches the Rfam family "Bacterial small subunit ribosomal RNA", at positions 111 to 823 of the family's 1533-position model. The record is from RNAcentral.